GGACGAACGCUGGCGGCGUGCUUAACACAUGCAAGUCGAACGGAAAGGCCCUGCUUGCAGGGUACUCGAGUGGCGAACGGGUGAGUAACACGUGGGUGAUCUGCCUUGCACUUCGGGAUAAGCCUGGGAAACUGGGUCUAAUACCGGAUAGGACCAUGCUUUAGUGUGUGUGGUGGAAAGUUUUUCGGUGCAAGAUGAGCCCGCGGCCUAUCAGCUUGUUGGUGGGGUAAUGGCCUACCAAGGCGACGACGGGUAGCCGGCCUGAGAGGGUGUACGGCCACAUUGGGACUGAGACACGGCCCAGACUCCUACGGGAGGCAGCAGUGGGGAAUAUUGCACAAUGGGCGCAAGCCUGAUGCAGCGACGCCGCGUGGGGGAUGAAGGCCUUCGGGUUGUAAACUCCUUUCGCUAGGGAAGAAGCCACUUGUGGUGACGGUACCUGGAUAAGAAGCACCGGCUAACUAC
This 465-nucleotide ribosomal RNA is filed under the name Corynebacterium sp. 'ARUP UnID 251'. RNAcentral describes it as "bacterial SSU rRNA". It matches the Rfam family "Bacterial small subunit ribosomal RNA", at positions 27 to 504 of the family's 1533-position model. Lineage: Bacteria; Bacillati; Actinomycetota; Actinomycetes; Mycobacteriales; Corynebacteriaceae. The record is from RNAcentral.